Molecule: ribosomal RNA, 460 nt
Filed under: uncultured bacterium
Lineage: Bacteria
Description: partial 16S ribosomal RNA
Rfam family: Bacterial small subunit ribosomal RNA
Source: RNAcentral
CCUACGGGAGGCAGCAGUGAGGAAUAUUGGUCAAUGGGCGGGAGCCUGAACCAGCCAAGUCGCGUGAGGGAAGACGGUCCUAUGGAUUGUAAACCUCUUUAGGCGGGGAGCAAUGCCGGGCACGCGUGCCCGGAGGGAGAGUACCCGCAGAAUAAGCAUCGGCUAACUCCGUGCCAGCAGCCGCGGUAAUACGGAGGAUGCGAGCGUUAUCCGGAUUUAUUGGGUUUAAAGGGUGCGUAGGCGGAUUUUUAAGUCAGCGGUAAAAUGUCCGGGCUCAACCCGGGCCGGCCGUUGAAACUGGGGAGCUUGAGUGGGCGAGAAGUAGGCGGAAUGCGUGGUGUAGCGGUGAAAUGCAUAGAUAUCACGCAGAACUCCGAUUGCGAAGGCAGCAUACCGGCGCCCGACUGACGCUGAGGCACGAAAGCGUGGGGAUCGAACAGGAUUACAUACCCCUGUAGUC